GAGUACAUGAACUUUAUUUAAAUAGUGAUUAGCCUUUACAAAAAACAAAAAAACGAGUACAUCAAUUACACACCUGAUAAAUAUUUCACCAUAAUGUUCACAUUAAAGUGUUCAGAGUGUUACUGUGUUGUUGUGUUUACACGUGUGCCUGAAUCAACAGCAUGACAGAGGCUUGCACUGAGAAAAACAGGCUGAUGUGCCGCUGUCAGUGUUCCCCAACCAUCGUGAUAAAGCGAGGAGACAUUUCUAUAUUUCAUUGACUGAAUACUAGGAUUACACAACAAAAUAAACAGCAAAUUAGGCAAAUGCUUGACAAUAGAAUAAAUCUUUUCCUCUGUCGUCAUAGCAGCACUUUGACUGGAAGAUCACGAUAGUCUUUGUCAGCAACCGACUGAAGAGUGAAAACCACAUCCACACCUAAAAUUGUUUUCCUCUUUUGGGCUUGAUCUGUCCCUCAUCCAACAGCUCUGUGGAGCCACAUGCAAAUCAAAAUUCAAACUGGCGUGGGGCAGAAGGCACUUGAAUUUACAUAAAAACUCAGCGACCUUGCUCUUCGCAAAAUGAAGUACUCGAUGAACCCUGAGAGCAAGUCACCAUUGGCCAGCACAUUUGCCUGUGUGGUGGCAGUGAAGACCCUUCACAUGGAAAAAAUAAUCAAUGCGGGGCCUUUGCAUAUGAUUUGUGUGCGAGCUGUGAAGGGAAAUGCACAGCACCGAGUCUGGCAGACAGUAGAACAUGCACACAUACUUUAUACAUACAUUUACAAACAGUGGAAACAGCUGUCUGGAAAGUGAAAGUUCUAUGGGUCUGUCUCAGCUUACACCAACAUCAAUAACAGAAAAUUAAGAAUGUGCGUAAAUCUGACAAUAAGAAAACUCACGGGUUAAGAUGGCAGGACCUAAUGUCCUUCCUCAUAAGGGCUUAUUUAUCAAAAAUGCAACCUGCUUGGAACAUCCUGUUUCACAAGCAUACAAAGCUCGGCUGAGAAUAGCACCAGCCACAAAUAAGUUUAGUCCAAGUGCACUGGAGGACAAAAAAAAAGAUAGACUUAGCUGACUAGGAUGGAAUUUUAUAGGUUUCUUUUUCUUAGCUUGAGACAACCAGUUGAGAUGAGGAAAUUACUAGUCCCAGCGCAAUAACAAUCUGGCACAUAACCUACCUCUGCUAAAUUGCAAACCCUUGUUUUUGUACAAAUUAAGCAAUCAACAAACAUAACUUGUUUAAUUAGAAAGCGUUGGAGACACAGGUUUACUUCCUUUUUUUUCUUUUUUCGAUCCGCCAAGCUAACCAGCUGCUACCUCUAGCAUCAUAUACAAAACAAUGAUCCGAGUCUAUGCUACUAAUCUUCUCAUAUAACUUUCAUUGUCUCAGCCAAAUAAAUGUGCUGUGUUACUAAAAUGCCAAACUUCAUUAAUGCUUGUCAGCUUCUCAUAGCAAACCUUUUCAUUUCUGAAUCUAUGUUGAUCAUAAAAUUAGCUGCAUGACUAUAAUGAAAAAAGUCGCUGUUAGCUUAUUUUGAGCUACAAAAAUGCCUAACAAGUACCAGUAGACUGAAGAAGUUACUUGGAAGUGAUGAAACGUUUCUCCCACUGAAAACGCUACGUCCAGAUGAACAGAAUCAACCACUGUCACCUUUUAAGUGACAGUGGACACCUACAGCCAACUUAGUCACUGUGUCACAAUGUGUAUACAUCCUUUAAGACACUUCCAUGUUGUACAUUAUCUGCACUUACACUCUGCAUUCAUUUACACAGUGUAGAAUUUGUGAAAAUGUACAAGUUAUCAGUCAUUAGACCACAAAAUAAUA
Molecule: long non-coding RNA, 1807 nt
Organism: Astatotilapia calliptera (eastern happy)
Lineage: Eukaryota; Metazoa; Chordata; Actinopteri; Cichliformes; Cichlidae
Source: Ensembl